This 1168-nucleotide ribosomal RNA is filed under the name Cladocroce sp. cla231. RNAcentral's name for it is "SSU rRNA". It matches the Rfam family "Eukaryotic small subunit ribosomal RNA", at positions 57 to 1109 of the family's 1831-position model. Lineage: Eukaryota; Metazoa; Porifera; Demospongiae; Haplosclerida; Chalinidae. The record is from RNAcentral.
GUGCAAGUAUAAACGCUAUAGAACCGUGAGACUAGCGAAUGGCUCAUUAAAUCAGUUAUAGUUUAUUUGAUGGUGUUUACUACGUGGAUAACCGUGGUAAUUCUAGAGCUAAUACAUGCAAAAGGUCCCGACUGCUUCGGAAGGGACGUAUUUAUUAGAUCCAAAACCAAUGCGGGUGUCGCUGCCUCGGCGGGGGCCCCGGUCUCUUGGUGAUUCAUGGUAACUGCUCGAAUCGUUUGGCCUCCGCGCCGGCGAUGGUUCAUUCAAGUUUCUGCCCUAUCAACUUUCGAUGGUAGGGUAUUGGCCUACCAUGGUUGCAACGGGUGACGGAGAAUUAGGGUUCGAUUCCGGAGAGGGAGCCUGAGAAACGGCUACCACAUCCAAGGAAGGCAGCAGGCGCGCAAAUUACCCAAUCCCGACUCGGGGAGGUAGUGACAAUAAAUAACAAUGCCGGUCCCUAUAGUGGUCCGGCAAUUGGAAUGAGUACAAUCCAAAUCCCUUAACGAGGAACAAUUGGAGGGCAAGUCUGGUGCCAGCAGCCGCGGUAAUUCCAGCUCCAAUAGCGUAUAUUAAAGUUGUUGCAGUUAAAAAGCUCGUAGUUGGAUUUCGGGGCCCCGGACGCUCGUUGCGUUGCCUGUUGGACUUGUCUGGCGGGUGCGUGGCGGUCGUCGGUCUCUGAGUCGGAUCGGUCCGCCGAGAGGCGUGUACUGACCGACGGCCCCUGUUGUCUCUCGGGUUACCCGCCUGCACUUAACUGCUGCGGACGGGAAGUUCGGGACGUUUACUUUGAACAAAUUAGAGUGUUCCAAGCAGGCCGGUUGCUUUGAAUACAUUAGCAUGGAAUAAUGGAAUAGGGCUGCGUGAUCUGUCGCUCUUGGGCGGCGGGUCCUCGUGUCCUAUUUUGUUGGUUUUCGGGACCGCAGUCAUGGUCAAGAGGGACAGUUGGGGGCAUUCGUAUUCAGUUGUCAGAGGUGAAAUUCUUGGAUUUACGGAAGACGAACAACUGCGAAAGCAUUUGCCAAGGAUGUUUUCAUUAAUCAAGAACGAAAGUUGGGGGUUCGAAGACGAUCAGAUACCGUCGUAGUCCCAACCAUAAACCAUGCCGGCUAGGGAUCGGCGGACGUCGGUAGCGACUCCGUCGGCACCUCUCGAGAAAUCCAAGCCUUUG